Molecule: non-coding RNA, 263 nt
Filed under: Neobacillus niacini
Lineage: Bacteria; Bacillati; Bacillota; Bacilli; Caryophanales; Bacillaceae
Description: Bacillus niacini partial 23S ribosomal RNA
Rfam family: Bacterial large subunit ribosomal RNA
Source: RNAcentral
AGUAUGUGGUCGUAGACCCGAAACCAGGUGAUCUACCCAUGUCCAGGGUGAAGUCCAGGUAACACUGGAUGGAGGCCCGAACCCACGCACGUUGAAAAGUGCGGGGAUGAGGUGUGGGUAGCGGAGAAAUUCCAAUCGAACUUGGAGAUAGCUGGUUCUCUCCGAAAUAGCUUUAGGGCUAGCCUCACGUUGUAAGAGUCUUGGAGGUAGAGCACUGUUUGGACUAGGGGCCCUCAUCGGGUUACCGAAUUCAGACAAACUCC